Molecule: ribosomal RNA, 273 nt
Filed under: uncultured prokaryote
Description: partial 16S ribosomal RNA
Rfam family: Bacterial small subunit ribosomal RNA
Source: RNAcentral
UACGUAGGGGGCGAGCGUUGUCCGAAGUUACUGGGCGUAAAGCGCGCGUAGGCGGCUCUUUAAGUGACUGGUGAAAUCCCCGGGCUCAACCCGGGAGUGUCUGGUCAUACUGGGGAGCUAGAGUGUGGGAGGGGAGAGCGGAACUCCUGGUGUAGCGGUGAUAUGCGUAGAGAUCAGGAAGAACACCCGUGGCGAAGGCGGCUCUCUGGACCAUAACUGACGCUGAGGUGCGAAAGCCAGGGGAGCGAACGGGAUUAGAAACCCUAGUAGUCC